AAAUUGAAGAGUUUGAUCAUGGCUCAGAUUGAACGCUGGCGGCAGGCCUAACACAUGCAAGUCGAACGGUAACAGGAAGCAGCUUGCUGCUUCGCUGACGAGUGGCGGACGGGUGAGUAAUGUCUGGGAAACUGCCUGAUGGAGGGGGAUAACUACUGGAAACGGUGGCUAAUACCGCAUAACGUCGCAAGACCAAAGAGGGGGACCUUCGGGCCUCUUGCCAUCAGAUGUGCCCAGAUGGGAUUAGCUUGUUGGUGAGGUAACGGCUCACCAAGGCGACGAUCCCUAGCUGGUCUGAGAGGAUGACCAGCCACACUGGAACUGAGACACGGUCCAGACUCCUACGGGAGGCAGCAGUGGGGAAUAUUGCACAAUGGGCGCAAGCCUGAUGCAGCCAUGCCGCGUGUAUGAAGAAGGCCUUCGGGUUGUAAAGUACUUUCAGCGGGGAGGAAGGUGUUGCGGUUAAUAACCGCAGCAAUUGACGUUACCCGCAGAAGAAGCACCGGCUAACUCCGUGCCAGCAGCCGCGGUAAUACGGAGGGUGCAAGCGUUAAUCGGAAUUACUGGGCGUAAAGCGCACGCAGGCGGUCUGUCAAGUCGGAUGUGAAAUCCCCGGGCUCAACCUGGGAACUGCAUUCGAAACUGGCAGGCUUGAGUCUUGUAGAGGGGGGUAGAAUUCCAGGUGUAGCGGUGAAAUGCGUAGAGAUCUGGAGGAAUACCGGUGGCGAAGGCGGCCCCCUGGACAAAGACUGACGCUCAGGUGCGAAAGCGUGGGGAGCAAACAGGAUUAGAUACCCUGGUAGUCCACGCCGUAAACGAUGUCUACUUGGAGGUUGUGCCCUUGAGGCGUGGCUUCCGGAGCUAACGCGUUAAGUAGACCGCCUGGGGAGUACGGCCGCAAGGUUAAAACUCAAAUGAAUUGACGGGGGCCCGCACAAGCGGUGGAGCAUGUGGUUUAAUUCGAUGCAACGCGAAGAACCUUACCUGGUCUUGACAUCCACAGAAGAAUCCAGAGAUGGAUUGGUGCCUUCGGGAACUGUGAGACAGGUGCUGCAUGGCUGUCGUCAGCUCGUGUUGUGAAAUGUUGGGUUAAGUCCCGCAACGAGCGCAACCCUUAUCCUUUGUUGCCAGCGAUUAGGUCGGGAACUCAAAGGAGACUGCCAGUGAUAAACUGGAGGAAGGUGGGGAUGACGUCAAGUCAUCAUGGCCCUUACGACCAGGGCUACACACGUGCUACAAUGGCGCAUACAAAGAGAAGCGACCUCGCGAGAGCAAGCGGACCUCAUAAAGUGCGUCGUAGUCCGGAUUGGAGUCUGCAACUCGACUCCAUGAAGUCGGAAUCGCUAGUAAUCGUGGAUCAGAAUGCCACGGUGAAUACGUUCCCGGGCCUUGUACACACCGCCCGUCACACCAUGGGAGUGGGUUGCAAAAGAAGUAGGUAGCUUAACCUUCGGGAGGGCGCUUACCACUUUGUGAUUCAUGACUGGGGUGAAGUCGUAACAAGGUAACCGUAGGGGAACCUGCGGUUGGA
This 1531-nucleotide ribosomal RNA is filed under the name Salmonella enterica subsp. enterica serovar Typhimurium. Its description in RNAcentral is "bacterial SSU rRNA". It matches the Rfam family "Bacterial small subunit ribosomal RNA". Lineage: Bacteria; Pseudomonadati; Pseudomonadota; Gammaproteobacteria; Enterobacterales; Enterobacteriaceae. The record is from RNAcentral.